Molecule: ribosomal RNA, 301 nt
Filed under: uncultured bacterium
Lineage: Bacteria
Description: partial 16S ribosomal RNA
Rfam family: Bacterial small subunit ribosomal RNA
Source: RNAcentral
CAGCCGCCGCGGUAAUACGUAGGUCCCGAGCGUUGUCCGGAUUUAUUGGGCGUAAAGCGAGCGCAGGCGGUCAGAUAAGUCUGAAGUUAAAGGCUGUGGCUUAACCAUAGUACGCUUUGGAAACUGUUUAACUUGAGUGCAAGAGGGGAGAGUGGAAUCCCAUGUGUAGCGGUGAAAUGCGUAGAUAUAUGGAGGAACACCGGUGGCGAAAGCGGCUCUCUGGCUUGUAACUGACGCUGAGGCUCGAAAGCGUGGGGCGCAAACAGGAUUAGAUACCCCAGUAGUCCCUGUCUCUUAUACA